RNAcentral lists this ribosomal RNA (460 nucleotides) under uncultured bacterium. RNAcentral describes it as "partial 16S ribosomal RNA". It matches the Rfam family "Bacterial small subunit ribosomal RNA", at positions 338 to 795 of the family's 1533-position model. The record is from RNAcentral.
CCUACGGGGGACUGCAGUGAGGAAUAUUGGUCAAUGGCCGGAAGGCUGAACCAGCCAUGCCGCGUGAAGGUCAGUGCACUAUGGGCGUUAAACUUCUUUUGUGCGGGAGCAAUAAUGGUCACGUGUGGCCAGACUAGAGUACCGUACGAAUAAGCAUCGGCUAACUCCGUGCCAGCAGCCGCGGUAAUACGGGGGAUGCAAGCGUUAUCCGGAUUUAUUGGGUUUAAAGGGUGCGUACGCUGUGAGGUAAGUCAGCGGGGAAAUGCCCCCGCUCAAAGGGGUGACGUGCCAUUGAUACUGGCUUGCUGGAAUGCGGAUGCCAUGGGAGGAAUGUGUGGUGUAGCGGUGAAAUGCAUAGAUAUCACACAGAACACCGAUUGCGAAGGCAUCUCACGAAUCCGCGAUUGACGCUGAUGCACGAAAGCGUGGGUAUCAAACAGGAUUAGAUACCCGGGUAGUC